RNAcentral lists this ribosomal RNA (1377 nucleotides) under metagenome. RNAcentral describes it as "SSU rRNA". It matches the Rfam family "Eukaryotic small subunit ribosomal RNA", at positions 404 to 1801 of the family's 1831-position model. The record is from RNAcentral.
UAGCUACCACAUCCAAGGAAGGCAGCAGGCGCGCAAAUUACCCACUCCCGAAACGGGGAGGUAGUGACGAUAAAUAACGAUGCGGGACUCAAUCGAGGCCCCGUAAUUGGAAUGAGUACACUUUAAAUCCUUUAACGAGGAUCAAUUGGAGGGCAAGUCUGGUGCCAGCAGCCGCGGUAAUUCCAGCUCCAAUAGCGUAUAUUAAAGUUGUUGCAGUUAAAAAGCUCGUAGUUGGAUCUCAGGAUUUGGAUGGAUGGUUCGCUUUCGGGCGCUACUAUCUGUCUGACCUACUCUAGUCGUGGAUGCCUUGGGUGCUCUUAAUUGAGUGCUUUUGGUGCCCGACGCAAUUACUUUGAAAAAAUUAGGGUGCUCAAAGCAGGCGUAUUGCCUGAAUAGUGUUGCAUGGAAUAAUGAAAUAGGAGUUUACUUCUAUUUUGUUGGUUUUCGGAGGUGAACUAAUGAUUAACAGGGACAGACGGGGGCAUUUGUAUGGAGGGGUUAGAGGUGAAAUUCUUGGAUCCUCUCCAGACAAACUACUGCGAAAGCAUUUGCCAGGAAUGUUUUCACUAAUCAAGAACGAAAGUCAGAGGUUCGAAGACGAUCAGAUACCGUCCUAGUUCUGACCAUAAAUGAUGCCAUCUAACAAUCCACGAAGUUUGCUUGUACGAACUCGUGGGCGGUCCCCGGGAAACCAAAGAUUUUGGGUUCCGGGGGAAGUAUGGUUGCAAAGCUGAAACUUAAAGGAAUUGACGGAAGGGCACCACCAGGAGUGGAGCCUGCAGCUUAAUUUGACCCAACACGGGAAACCUCACCCGGCCCGGACACUUUUAGGAUUGACAGAUUGAAGGCUCUUUCUUGAUCAAGUGGUUGGUGGUGCAUGGCCGUUCUUAGUUGGUGGAGCGAUUUGUCUGGUUAAUUCCGAUAACGAACGAGACUCUACUCUGCUAAAUAGAACGUUGAUAUAUAAAAGUCAGUGCUGACUUCUUAGAGAGACUAACGGCGUUUAGCCGUGUGAGAAAGAGCAAUAACAGGUCUGUGAUGCCCUUAGAUGUCCGGGGCCGCACGCGCGCUACACUGACUGCAGCAACUAGUAUGCUCCUGGUUUGAAAAAACUGGGUAACCUGGUUGAAUUGCAGGCGUGACAGGGAUCAGAGUUUGCAAUUAUCCUCUGUGAACGAGGAAUUCCCAUUAAGCGCAAGUCAUUAGCUUGUGCUGAUUACGUCCCUGCCCUUUGUACACACCGCCCGUCGCUACUACCGAUUGAAUGGUUUAGUGAGGUCUUCGGAUUGGUGCUGAUGGAGUGGUUCUCUGCUCUGUUAGUGCCGAGAAGAUGAUCAAACUUGAUCAUUUAGAGGAAGUAAAAGUCGUAACAAGGUU